CAGUCGCCGCGGUAAUACGAAGGGUGCAAGCGUUAAUCGGAAUUACUGGGCGUAAAGCGUGCGUGGGCGGUUUGUUAAGUCUGUUGUGAAAUCCCCGGGCUCAACCUGGGAAUGGCAAUGGAUACUGGCAAGCUAGAGUGUGUCAGAGGAUGGUGGAAUUCCCGGUGUAGCGGUGAAAUGCGUAGAGAUCGGGAGGAACAUCAGUGGCGAAGGCGGCCAUCUGGGACAACACUGACGCUGAGGCACGAAAGCGUGGGGAGCAAACAGGAUUAGAUACCCCAGUAGUCCCUGUCUCUUAUAC
Molecule: ribosomal RNA, 301 nt
Filed under: uncultured bacterium
Lineage: Bacteria
Description: partial 16S ribosomal RNA
Rfam family: Bacterial small subunit ribosomal RNA
Source: RNAcentral